UUACUGUACAUGUGCUGGUUGUUAUGCUUGUUAUAGUUAUUGGCUGUUUUUUGUGUUCUGUUUGUGUUAAAAGUUAAUGUGUAUGUUGUCUAUUUUUUUUAUUAAAAUGUUGAUGUAGC
Molecule: long non-coding RNA, 119 nt
Organism: Etheostoma spectabile (orangethroat darter)
Lineage: Eukaryota; Metazoa; Chordata; Actinopteri; Perciformes; Percidae
Exons: 3
Source: RefSeq, a predicted model, not a curated record